AUUCCAGCUCCAUUAGCGUAUAUUAACGUUGUUGCAGUUAAAAAGCUCGUAGUUGGAUUUGUGGUGCCACGUGCGGUUCCGGAAUAUUUUUCGGUGCUGCGUGGUGGUGCCAUCCUUGGGUGGAAUCUGUGUGGCAUUAGGUUGUCGCGCAGGGGAUGCCCAUCGUUUACUGUGAAAAAAUUAGAGUGUUCAAAGCAGGCUUAUGCCGUUGAAUAUAUUAGCAUGGAAUAAUAAGAUAGGACCUUGGUACUAUUUUGUUGGUUUGCGCACCGAGGUAAUGAUUAAUAGGGACAGUUGGGGGUAUUCGUAUUCCAUUGUCAGAGGUGAAAUUCUUGGAUUUCUGGAAGACGAACUACUGCGAAAGCAUUUACCAAGGAUGUUUUC
This 384-nucleotide ribosomal RNA is filed under the name Sellaphora seminulum. Its description in RNAcentral is "SSU rRNA". It matches the Rfam family "Eukaryotic small subunit ribosomal RNA", at positions 582 to 971 of the family's 1831-position model. Lineage: Eukaryota; Bacillariophyta; Bacillariophyceae; Sellaphorales; Sellaphoraceae. The record is from RNAcentral.